RNAcentral lists this ribosomal RNA (444 nucleotides) under uncultured bacterium. RNAcentral's name for it is "bacterial SSU rRNA". It matches the Rfam family "Bacterial small subunit ribosomal RNA", at positions 958 to 1397 of the family's 1533-position model. The record is from RNAcentral.
AACGCGAAGAACCUUACCUGGGCUCGAACGGCUUAAGAACAUCUUUGGAAACAGGGACUUCCCGCAAGGGACUUGAGUCGAGGUGCUGCAUGGCUGUCGUCAGCUCGUGUCGUGAGAUGUUGGGUUAAGUCCCGCAACGAGCGCAACCCUUGUCCUGUGUUGCCACUCCCCUUAAAAGGAAGCACUCGCAGGAGACCGCCAGCGAUAAGCUGGAGGAAGGUGGGGAUGAUGUCAAGUCAUCAUGGCCUUUAUGUCCAGGGCUACACACGUGCUACAAUGGCCGGUACAAAGCGCUGCAAACCCGCGAGGGGGAGCUAAUCGCAAAAAACCGGUCUCAGUUCGGAUCGCAGGCUGCAACUCGCCUGCGUGAAGCUGGAAUCGCUAGUAAUGGUGUAUCAGAACGAUACCGUGAAUACGUUCCCGGGCCUUGUACACACCGCGAGC